GACGAACGCUGGCGGCGUGCUUAACACAUGCAAGUCGAACGGAAAGGCCCUGCUUUUGUUGGGUGCUCGAGUGGCGAACGGGUGAGUAACACGUGAGUAACCUGCCCUUGACUUUGGGAUAACUUCAGGAAACUGGGGCUAAUACCGGAUAUGAGCUCCUGCUGCAUGGUGGUGGUUGGAAAGUUUCGGCUGUUGGGGAUGGACUCGCGGCUUAUCAGCUUGUUGGUGUGGUAGUGGCUUACCAAGGCUUUGACGGGUAGCCGGCCUGAGAGGGUGACCGGCGACAUGGGGACUGAGAGACGGCGCAGACGCCUACGGGAGGCAGCAGUGGGGAAUAUUGCACAAUGGGCGGAAGCCUGAUGCAGCAACGCCGCGUGCGGGAUGACGGCCUUCGGGUUGUAAACCGAUUUCGCAUGUGACGAAGAGUGAGUGACGGUAAUGGGUAAAGAAGCACCGGCUAACUACGUG
Molecule: ribosomal RNA, 468 nt
Filed under: uncultured bacterium
Lineage: Bacteria
Description: partial 16S ribosomal RNA
Rfam family: Bacterial small subunit ribosomal RNA
Source: RNAcentral